This 518-nucleotide ribosomal RNA is filed under the name uncultured bacterium. RNAcentral's name for it is "bacterial SSU rRNA". It matches the Rfam family "Bacterial small subunit ribosomal RNA", at positions 791 to 1311 of the family's 1533-position model. The record is from RNAcentral.
UAGUCCACACCGUAAACGAUGAAUGCCAGUCGUCGGGUAGUAUACUAUUCGGUGACACACCUAACGGAUUAAGCAUUCCGCCUGGGGAGUACGGUCGCAAGAUUAAAACUCAAAGGAAUUGACGGGGGCCCGCACAAGCGGUGGAGCAUGUGGUUUAAUUCGACGCAACGCGCAGAACCUUACCCAGACUUGACAUCCACUGACCGCUAUAGAGAUAUAGUUUUCCCUUCGGGGACAGUGAGACAGGUGCUGCAUGGCUGUCGUCAGCUCGUGUUGUGAAAUGUUCGGUUAAGUCCGGCAACGAGCGCAACCCCUGUCCUUAGUUGCUAACAUUAAGUUGAGGACUCUAAGGAGACUGCCGGUGUUAAACCGGAGGAAGGCGGGGAUGACGUCAAGUCCUCAUGGCCCUUACGUCUGGGGCUACACACGUACUACAAUGGCAAAGACAGAGCGACGCGAAACUGCGAAGUGGAGCUAAUCGCAAAAACAUUGUCUCAGUCCGGAUUGGAGUCUGCAAC